UGAGGAAUAUUGGUCAAUGGACGCAAGUCUGAACGAGCCAAGUAGCGUGCAGGAUGACGGCCCUAUGGGUUGUAAACGGCGUUUAUAUGGGGAUAAAGUGGGGAACGUGUUCCCUUUUGCAGGUACCAUAUGAAUAAGGACCGGCUAAUUCCGUGCCAGCAGCCGCGGUAAUACGGAAGGUUAGGGAGUUAUCCGGAUUUAUUGGGUUUAAAGGGAGCGUAGGCCGUUUGGUAAGCGUGUUGUGAAAUGUAGGAGCUCAACUUCUAGACUGCCUCGCGAACUGUCUGACUUGAGUGCGCUCCACGUAGGCUGAAUUCAUGGUGUAUCGGUGAACUGCUUAGAUAUCAUGAAGCCCUCCGAUUGCGCAGGCAGCUUACGGGAGCGCAAAUGACGCUGAAGCUCGAAGGUGCGGGUAUCGAACAGG
RNAcentral lists this ribosomal RNA (424 nucleotides) under Verrucomicrobiota bacterium. Its description in RNAcentral is "Verrucomicrobia bacterium partial 16S ribosomal RNA". It matches the Rfam family "Bacterial small subunit ribosomal RNA", at positions 355 to 776 of the family's 1533-position model. Lineage: Bacteria; Pseudomonadati; Verrucomicrobiota. The record is from RNAcentral.